GAUGAACGCUGGCGGCGUGCCUAAUACAUGCAAGUCGAGCGAAUGGAUUAAGAGCUUGCUCUUAUGAAGUUAGCGGCGGACGGGUGAGUAACACGUGGGUAACCUGCCCAUAAGACUAGGAUAACUCCGGGAAACCGGGGCUAAUACCGGAUAACAUUUUGAACCGCAUGGUUCGAAAUUGAAAGGCGGCUUCGGCUGUCACUUAUGGAUGGAUCCGCGGCGCAUUGGCUAGUUGGUGAGGUAACGGCUCACCAAGGCAACGAUGCGUAGCCGACCGGAGAGGGUGAGCGGCCACACUGGGACUGGGACACGGCCCAGACUCCUACGGGAGGCAGCAGUAGGGAAUCUUCCGCAAUGGACGAAAGUCUGACGGAGCAACGCCGCGUGAGUGAUGAAGGCUUUCGGGUCGUAAGACUCUGUUGUUAGGGAAGAACAAGUGCUAGUUGAAUAAGCUGGCACCUUGACGGUACCUAACCAGAAAGCCACGGCUAACUACGUGCCAGCAGCCGCCGUAA
Molecule: ribosomal RNA, 515 nt
Filed under: uncultured bacterium
Lineage: Bacteria
Description: partial 16S ribosomal RNA
Rfam family: Bacterial small subunit ribosomal RNA
Source: RNAcentral